RNAcentral lists this ribosomal RNA (484 nucleotides) under uncultured bacterium. RNAcentral's name for it is "partial 16S ribosomal RNA". It matches the Rfam family "Bacterial small subunit ribosomal RNA", at positions 28 to 523 of the family's 1533-position model. The record is from RNAcentral.
GACGAACGCUGGCGGCGUGCUUAACACAUGCAAGUCGAACGAUGAAGCCGGAGCUUGCUCUGGUGAAUUAGUGGCGAACGGGUGAGUAACACGUGAGUAACCUGCCCUUGACUCUGGGAUAACUGCUAGAAAUGGUAGCUAAUACCGGAUACGACCCUCGGCGGCAUCGCCAGGGGGUGGAAAGAAUUUCGGUCAAGGAUGGACUCGCGGCCUAUCAGCUAGUGGGUGAGGUAACGGCCCACCAAGGCGACGACGGGUAGCCGGCCUGAGAGGGUGACGGGCCACACUGGGACUGAGACACGGCCCAGACUCCUCUGGGAGGCAGCAGUGGGGAAUAUUGCACAAUGGGCGCAAGCCUGAUGCAGCAACGCCGCGUGAGGGAUGACGGCCUUCGGGUUGUAAACCUCUUUUAGUAGGGAAGAAGCGAAAGUGACGGUACCUGCAGAAAAAGCACCGGCUAACUACGUGCCAGCAGCCGCCGUAA